Xylariales sp. PMI_506 is the source of this 137-nucleotide non-coding RNA. The record is from the annotation of a GenBank genome assembly. Lineage: Eukaryota; Fungi; Ascomycota; Sordariomycetes; Xylariales.
GGUGAGAUGGCCGAGUGGUCUAAGGCGCUGUGUUUAGGUCCAAAUUCGUACUACUCAAUCAAGCGUAGUAUGGGUUUAGCUAAGCGAAGGAUAUUCCGCAGUGGGAAACCGCGUGGGUUCGAAUCCCACUCUCAUCA